Molecule: ribosomal RNA, 511 nt
Filed under: uncultured crenarchaeote
Lineage: Archaea; Thermoproteati; Thermoproteota
Description: partial 16S ribosomal RNA
Rfam family: Archaeal small subunit ribosomal RNA
Source: RNAcentral
ACUUCUGCAAUAGGCGAAAGCCUGACAGGGUUACUCUGAGUGACUUCCGCUAAGAAGGUCUUUUGACACGUCUAAAAAUGGUGUAGAAUAAGGGGUGGGCAAGUCUGGUGUCAGCCGCCGCGGUAAUACCAGCACCCCGAGUGGUCGGCGACGAUUAUUGGKCYUAAAGCAUCCGUAGCCGCUUYUUCAAGUCUUCYKUUAAAUCCACCYGCUYAACMURUGGGCUGCGGAGGAUACUAUMGACUAKGAGSCSGGAGAGGCAAGCGGUACUCWWUGGGUAGGGGURAAAUCCUCUGAUCCAUUGAAGACCACCAGUGGCGAAGGCGGCUUGCCAGAACGCGCUCGACGGUGAGGGAUGAAAGCUAGGGGMGCRAACCGGAUUAGAUACCCGGGUAGUCCCAGCUGUAAACRAUGCAGACUCGGUGAUGGCCCAGCUUCGUGCUACUUCCAKUGCCGCAGGGAAGCCGUUAAGUCUGCCGCCUGGUGGAGUACGUCGCAAUACUGAUACUUA